GACGAACGCUGGCGGCGUGCUUAACACAUGCAAGUCGAACGGAAAGGCCCUUCUUUUGUGGGGUGCUCGAGUGGCGAACGGGUGAGUAACACGUGAGUAACCUGCCCUGCACUUUGGGAUAACUUCAGGAAACUGGGGCUAAUACCGGAUAGGAGCUCCUUCUGCAUGGUGUGGUUUGGAAAUUUUCGGCGGUUGGGGAUGGACUCGCGGCUUAUCAGCUUGUUGGUGGGGUAGUGGCUUACCAAGGCUUUGACGGGUAGCCGGCCUGAGAGGGUGACCGGCCACAUUGGGACUGAGAUACGGCCCAGACUCCUACGGGAGGCAGCAGUGGGGAAUAUUGCACAAUGGGCGGAAGCCUGAUGCAGCGACGCCGCGUGCGGGAUGACGGCCUUCGGGUUGUAAACCGCUUUCGCCUGUGACGAAGCGUGAGUGACGGUACUGGGUGAAGAAGCACCGGCUAACUACGUG
RNAcentral lists this ribosomal RNA (468 nucleotides) under uncultured bacterium. RNAcentral's name for it is "partial 16S ribosomal RNA". It matches the Rfam family "Bacterial small subunit ribosomal RNA", at positions 28 to 507 of the family's 1533-position model. The record is from RNAcentral.